Molecule: ribosomal RNA, 571 nt
Filed under: uncultured Bifidobacterium sp.
Lineage: Bacteria; Bacillati; Actinomycetota; Actinomycetes; Bifidobacteriales; Bifidobacteriaceae
Description: partial 16S rRNA
Source: RNAcentral
CACUAGUGAUUGGUGUUCUUCCCGAUAUCUACACAUUCCACCGUUACACCGGGAAUUCCAGUCUCCCCUACCGCACUCAAGCCCGCCCGUACCCGGCGCGGAUCCACCGUUAAGCGAUGGACUUUCACACCGGACGCGACGAACCGCCUACGAGCCCUUUACGCCCAAUAAUUCCGGAUAACGCUUGCACCUACGUAUUACCGCGGCUGCUGGCACGUAGUUAGCCGGUGCUUAUUCGAAAGGUACACUCACCCGAAGGCUUGCUCCCGAUCAAAAGCGGUUUACAACCCGAAGGCCGUCAUCCCGCACGCGGCGUCGCUGCAUCAGGCUUGCGCCCAUUGUGCAAUAUUCCCCACUGCUGCCUCCCGUAGGAGUCUGGGCCGUAUCUCAGACCCAAUGUGGCCGGUCGCCCUCUCAGGCCGGCUACCCGUCGUAGGCUCGGUGGGCCGUUACCCCGCCGACUACCUGAUAGGACGCGACCCCAUCCCAUACCGAUGAAAUCUUUCCCGGAAGGACAUGCAUCCAACCGGAGCAUCCGGCAUUACCACCCGUUUCCAGGAGAAUCGAAUUC